RNAcentral lists this ribosomal RNA (1040 nucleotides) under uncultured bacterium. Its description in RNAcentral is "bacterial SSU rRNA". It matches the Rfam family "Bacterial small subunit ribosomal RNA", at positions 1 to 1020 of the family's 1533-position model. The record is from RNAcentral.
CGGAUCCGCGCCGCUGCAGAGUUUGAUCCUGGCUCAGGACGAACGCUGGCGGCGUGCUUAACACAUGCAAGUCGAACGGGGAUAUCCGAGCGGAAGGCUUCGGCCGGAAGGUCGGGUAUUCGAGUGGCGGACGGGUGAGUAACGCGUGAGCAAUCUGUCCCAGACAGGGGGAUAACACUUGGAAACAGGUGCUAAUACCGCAUAAGACCACGGCAUCGCAUGGUGCAGGGGUAAAAGGAGCGAUCCGGUCUGGGGUGAGCUCGCGUCCGAUUAGAUAGUUGGUGAGGUAACGGCCCACCAAGUCGACGAUCGGUAGCCGACCUGAGAGGGUGAUCGGCCACAUUGGAACUGAGAGACGGUCCAAACUCCUACGGGAGGCAGCAGUGGGGAAUAUUGGGCAAUGGGCGAAAGCCUGACCCAGCAACGCCGCGUGAGUGAAGAAGGCCUUCGGGUUGUAAAGCUCUGUUAUGCGAGACGAAGGAAGUGACGGUAUCGCAUAAGGAAGCCCCGGCUAACUACGUGCCAGCAGCCGCGGUAAUACGUAGGGGGCGAGCGUUGUCCGGAAUGACUGGGCGUAAAGGGCGUGUAGGCGGCCGACUAAGUAUGGAGUGAAAGUCCAUUUUUCAAGGAUGGAAUUGCUUUGUAGACUGGAUGGCUUGAGUGCGGAAGAGGUAAGUGGAAUUCCCAGUGUAGCGGUGAAAUGCGUAGAGAUUGGGAGGAACACCAGUGGCGAARGCGACUUACUGGGCCGUAACUGACGCUGAGGCGCGAAAGCGUGGGGAGCGAACAGGAUUAGAUACCCUGGUAGUCCACGCGGUAAACGAUGAAUGCUAGGUGUUGCGGGUAUCGACCCCUGCAGUGCCGGAGUAAACACAAUAAGCAUUCCGCCUGGGGAGUACGGCCGCAAGGUUGAAACUCAAAGGAAUUGACGGGGGCCCGCACAAGCAGCGGGAGCAUGUUUGUUUAAUUCGAAGCAACGCGAAGAACCUUACCAGGUCUUGACAUCCCAUCUAAGCCCCAUAGAGAUAUGGAGUUCCUUC